This 157-nucleotide ribosomal RNA is filed under the name Tyrophagus putrescentiae. RNAcentral describes it as "partial 28S large subunit ribosomal RNA". Lineage: Eukaryota; Metazoa; Arthropoda; Arachnida; Sarcoptiformes; Acaridae. The record is from RNAcentral.
CCUAACACGUACGCAAGUCGCACGGUCUUGUUCAGGCCUGUGAGGCGCAAUGAAGAUAAACUGCUAUGAAGCUGCCUCUUGACGGGGGCAGCCACAGUAGCGGCCUGCCUACUUUCUCUAUUCGGGGAUAUGGUGGAGCUGGAGCGUAUGCGUUGGU